RNAcentral lists this ribosomal RNA (481 nucleotides) under uncultured bacterium. RNAcentral describes it as "bacterial SSU rRNA". It matches the Rfam family "Bacterial small subunit ribosomal RNA", at positions 28 to 506 of the family's 1533-position model. The record is from RNAcentral.
GACAAACGCUGGCGGCGUGCUUAACACAUGCAAGCCGAACGGUUCUCCUUAGGGAGAAUAGUGGCGGACGGGUGAGUAACACGUAGACGACCUGCCUCGCAGUGGGGAAUAACGUCUCGAAAGAGACGCUAAUACCGCAUAAGCUCUCUGUCGUUGGGUAGAGAGGAAACUUUGGCGCAAGCCAGAGGCUAAGAGAGGGGUCUGCGGCGGAUUAGCUAGUUGGGUAGGUAACGGCUGCCCAAGGCGACGAUCCGUAGCUGGUCUGAGAGGACGGCCAGCCACACUGGGACUGAGACACGGCCCAGACUCCUACGGGAGGCAGCAGUGAGGAAUAUUCCACAAUGGGCGCAAGCCUGAUGGAGCGACGCCGCGUGAGGGAAGACGCCUUUCGGGUGUAACCUCUUUACACGGAUGACACGCUCUCUCUGAGAGGGGAGGGCGUAGGACGAGUACCGAGUGAAUAAGUCUCGGCUAACUACGU